Molecule: ribosomal RNA, 479 nt
Filed under: uncultured delta proteobacterium
Lineage: Bacteria; Deltaproteobacteria
Description: bacterial SSU rRNA
Rfam family: Bacterial small subunit ribosomal RNA
Source: RNAcentral
GAGUUUGAUCCUGGCUCAGAAUGAACGCUGGCGGCGUGCUUAACUCAUGCAAGUCGAGCGCGAACGUGGCUUCGGCCACUAGUAGAGCGGCGAACGGGUGAGUAACACGUGGAUAACCUGCCUGGGAGCGGGGGACAACUUGGGGAAACUCGAGCUAAUACCGCAUACGUUCACAUCUUCGCGGAGGUGUGAAGAAAGGUGGCCUUCGGGCUGCCACUCCCAGAGGGGUCCGCGGCUGAUUAGCUAGUUGGUGGGGUAAUGGCCCACCAAGGCGACGAUCAGUAGCCGGCCUGGGAGGGUGAACGGCCACACUGGAACUGAGACACGGUCCAGACUCCUACGGGAGGCAGCAGUGGGGAAUAUUGGACAAUGGGCGAAAGCCUGAUCCAGCAACGCCGCGUGGAGGACGAAGGCCUUCGGGUUGUAAACUCCUGUCAGGUGGGACGAAAAGACUUCGGUUAAUACCCGGAGUCCCUGAC